AUUGAACGCUGGCGGCAGGCCUAACACAUGCAAGUCGAGCGAGCGGCGGACGGGUGAGUAAUGUCUGGGAAACUGCCUGAUGGAGGGGGAUAACUACUGGAAACGGUAGCUAAUACCGCAUACCAUCAGAUGUGCCCAGAUGGGAUUAGCUAGUAGGUGGGGUAACGGCUCACCUAGGCGACGAUCCCUAGCUGGUCUGAGAGGAUGACCCGCCACACUGGAAAUGAGACACGGUCCAGACUCCUACGGGAGGCAACAGGGGGGAAUAUUGCACAAUGGGCGCAAGCCGGAUGCAGCCAUGCCGCGUGGUGGAAGAAGGCCGUCGGGUUUGAAAGCACUUUCAGCGGGGAGGCGUUACCCGCAGAAGAAGCACCGGCUAACUCCGUGCCAGCCGCCGCGGUAAUAC
This 406-nucleotide ribosomal RNA is filed under the name uncultured bacterium. RNAcentral describes it as "partial 16S ribosomal RNA". It matches the Rfam family "Bacterial small subunit ribosomal RNA", at positions 29 to 526 of the family's 1533-position model. The record is from RNAcentral.